UUCCGGUUGAUCCUGCCGGACCCAACUGCUAUUUGGGUGAGGGUAAGCCAUGCGAGUUGAAUGGGAUACCUAAAUUUCCCAUGGCAAACUGCUCAGUAACACAUGAUCAACUUACCCUAUAGAGAAAAAUACUCUCGGGAAACUGAGGAUAAUGUUUCAUAGUUGAAAAGGCUUGGAAAAGUUUUUCAAUGAGAGGGAUAGGAAAAAUGGUUUUUAUCUGCUAUAGGAUAGGAUCGUGGUCGAUUAUGGUUGUUGGUGAGGUAACGGCUCACCAAGCCGAUAAUCGAUAGGGGCCGUGAGAGCGGGAGCCCCGAGAUGGGUACUGAGACAACGACCCAGGCCUUACGAGGCGCAGCAGGCGCGAAACCUCCGCAAUACACGAAAGUGUGACGGGGUUACCCAAAGUGUUCUUUAUAGAACUGUGGUAGGUGAGUAAUAUCCCCUACUAGAAAGGAGAGGGCAAGGCUGGUGCCAGCCGCCGCGGUAAAACCAGCUCUUCAAGUGGUCGGGAUAAUUAUUGGGCUUAAAGUGUCCGUAGCCGGUUUAGUAAGUUCCUGGUAAAAUCGGGUAGCUUAACUAUCCGCAUGCUAGGAAUACUGCUAUACUAGAGGGCGGGAGAGGUCUGAGUACUGCAGGGGUAGGGGUGAAAUCUUAUAAUCCUUGUAGGACCACCAGUGGCGAAGGCGUCAGACUGGAACGCGCCUGACGGUGAGGGACGAAAGCCAGGGGAGCGAACCGGAUUAGAUACCCGGGUAGUCCUGGCCGUAAACGAUGCAUACUAGGUGAUGGUACGGCCAUGAGCCGUGUCAGUGCCGUAGGGAAACCGUUAAGUGUGCCGCCUGGGAAGUACGGUCGCAAGGCUAAAACUUAAAGGAAUUGGCGGGGGAGCACCACAAGGGGUGAAGCCUGCGGUUCAAUUGGACCCAACGCCGGGAAACUUACCAGGGGAGACAGCAGAAUGACGGUCAGGUUGACGACCUUGCCUAACGAGCUGAGAGGAGGUGCAUGGCCGUCGCCAGUUCGUGCUGUGAGGUAUCCUGUUAAGUCAGGCAACGAACGAGAUCCGCGCCUUUAUUUGCCAGCAAGAAGUCACGACUUCGUUGGGAACACUAAAGGGACCGCCGUCGAUAAGACGGAGGAAGGAGCGGGCAAAGGCAGGUCAGUAUGCCCCGAAACCCCUGGGCUACACGCGGGCUGCAAUGGUAUGAACAAUGGGCUGUAACUCC
Molecule: ribosomal RNA, 1226 nt
Filed under: Promethearchaeota archaeon
Lineage: Archaea; Promethearchaeati; Promethearchaeota
Description: bacterial SSU rRNA
Rfam family: Archaeal small subunit ribosomal RNA
Source: RNAcentral